UACGAAGGGGGCUAGCGUUGCUCGGAAUUACUGGGCGUAAAGCGCACGUAGGCGGCUUUCUAAGUCGGGGGUGAAAUCCUGGAGCUCAACUCCAGAACUGCCUUCGAUACUGGAAAGCUCGAGUCCGGGAGAGGUGAGUGGAACUGCGAGUGUAGAGGUGAAAUUCGUAGAUAUUCGCAAGAACACCAGUGGCGAAGGCGGCUCACUGGCCCGGUACUGACGCUGAGGUGCGAAAGCGUGAGGAGCAAACAGG
Molecule: ribosomal RNA, 253 nt
Filed under: uncultured bacterium
Lineage: Bacteria
Description: partial 16S ribosomal RNA
Rfam family: Bacterial small subunit ribosomal RNA
Source: RNAcentral